UUUUAUGGAGAGUUUGAUCCUGGCUCAGGAUGAACGCUGGCGGCGUGCCUAAUACAUGCAAGUCGAGCGAACGGACGAGAAGCUUGCUUCUCUGAUGUUAGCGGCGGACGGGUGAGUAACACGUGGAUAACCUACCUAUAAGACUGGGAUAACUUCGGGAAACCGGAGCUAAUACCGGAUAAUAUUUUGAACCGCAUGGUUCAAAAGUAAAAGACGGUCUUGCUGUCACUUAUAGAUGGAUCCGCGCUGCAUUAGCUAGUUGGUAAGGUAACGGCUUACCAAGGCAACGAUGCAUAGCCGACCUGAGAGGGUGAUCGGCCACACUGGAACUGAGACACGGUCCAGACUCCUACGGG
This 356-nucleotide ribosomal RNA is filed under the name Staphylococcus aureus. RNAcentral describes it as "bacterial SSU rRNA". It matches the Rfam family "Bacterial small subunit ribosomal RNA", at positions 1 to 345 of the family's 1533-position model. The record is from RNAcentral. Lineage: Bacteria; Bacillati; Bacillota; Bacilli; Caryophanales; Staphylococcaceae.